AACUGAAAGACCUGAGAGGGAAUCUCAGCUUGACACUUACUCAUUAUGUGUCCUUGGGUCAGUCAUUGAGAGUCUCUUCCUCCCAGUGGUUGGGAAGCUGCAUGGAAGUGUAGAGGGCACUGUGAGAUACAGAAUCAAAGGAUGAGUGAUGAAACCACUGAGAGAGAACCACUUCCUGAGAAACCACUAAAGAAGUGCAUCUGCGUAAUGAAGAAUGCACAAGAAAGGAGAACACAUCAUUUUCCACAAUCACAGCUACCUAUGUGACAGUGAGAUAACAGUGAUUUUUGAAAGCCUCUGUUGUUUUUCCGGCUACAAGACAUCUAAGGCGGCAUGGACUUCCUAGAAAGUUCUUUUUACAGACCAUUUUCAUCUCAGAGCUGCCUCAAUCGCCAAAGAUAAGCGGGAGCUAUUUGCGUCUGGUGAUGCUCUAACUCCAAGUGAUUUCUCUUCAUAGGAAAUGUUCAUGAUGUCACCCUCAAAGAUAAAAGCUUGUUGGAAUUGUUAACAAUUGACUUUCUCAUUUAUAAAGGCAAUACCUUGCUUAGUCAUUUUCUGCGUCUGUGUCCUCUACUUCCUGACCUCCCAUUCAGAGCUUGCUUUAUGUCUCCCAGAUUACUGGCCCUGUUAUCGUACCUAGCGCCAGACCCAGUACCUCUACUCAGACCUUAUCCUAUGCCACUUCAGUUGAUGUCUUUCUUAAAACAUUCUUCUGACCUGGCUUUGUGACUGCUGUUUUCUCUUCUUCC
RNAcentral lists this long non-coding RNA (749 nucleotides) under Homo sapiens (human). RNAcentral describes it as "HSALNT0376194". The record is from RNAcentral. Lineage: Eukaryota; Metazoa; Chordata; Mammalia; Primates; Hominidae.